RNAcentral lists this ribosomal RNA (277 nucleotides) under uncultured bacterium. RNAcentral's name for it is "partial 16S ribosomal RNA". It matches the Rfam family "Bacterial small subunit ribosomal RNA", at positions 28 to 304 of the family's 1533-position model. The record is from RNAcentral.
GACUAACGCUGGCGGCGUGCCUUACGCAUGCAAGUCGUACGGAUGGAUGCCUUCGGGUGUCCGUCAGUGGCGGACGGCUGAGUAACACGUGGGCAACCUGCCCGAAAGUGGGGGAUAACCUGCCGAAAGGUGGGCUAAUACCGCAUGUGGUUCUGGGCCCGAUGGGGCCUGGGACUAAAGGCGCAAGUCGCUUUCGGAGGGGCCCGCGGCCUAUCAGGUAGUUGGUGGGGUAACGGCUCACCAAGCCUACGACGGGUAGCUGGUCUGAGAGGACGAU